CCUACGGGAGGCAGCAGUAGGGAAUAUUGGUAAUGGGCGAAAGCCUGAACCAGCAACGCCGCGUGUGCGAUGAAGGCCUUCGGGUUGCAAAGCACUUUUUAAGAGGAUGAGGAAGGACAGUACUCUUAGAAUAAGCCUCGGCUAACUACGUGCCAGCAGCCGCGGUAACACGUAGGAGGCAAGCGUUAUUCGGAUUUACUGGGCGUAAAGCGCGUGCAGGCGGUUUGGUAAGUUGGAUGUGAAAGCUCCUGGCCUAACUGGGAGAGGUCGUUCAAUACUACCAGACUAGAGGAUGGGAGAGGGAGGUGGAAUUCCGGGUGUAGUGGUGAAAUGCGUAGAUAUCCGGAGGAACACCAGUGGCGAAAGCGGCCUCCUGGCCCAUUUCUGACGCUCAGACGCGAAAGCUAGGGUAGCAAACGGGAUUAGAGACCCCGGUAGUCCUAGCUGUAAACGAUGUGGACUUGGCGUCGGCGGGUUUAAAUCCGUCGGUGCCGAAGCUAACGCGAUAAGUUCACCGCCUGGGGACUACNGCCGCAAGGUUAAAACUCAAAGGAAUUGACGGGACCCCGCACAAGCAGCGGAGCGUGUGGUUUAAUUCGAUGCUACACGAAGAANCUUACCAGGGUUUGACAUACAAGUGGC
RNAcentral lists this ribosomal RNA (642 nucleotides) under uncultured bacterium. RNAcentral describes it as "bacterial SSU rRNA". It matches the Rfam family "Bacterial small subunit ribosomal RNA", at positions 338 to 996 of the family's 1533-position model. The record is from RNAcentral.